GGAGGGUGCAAGCGUUAUCCGGAAUCAUUGGGUUUAAAGGGUCUGUAGGCGGGCAUAUAAGUCAGUGGUGAAAGUCUGUGGCUUAACCAUAGAAUUGCCAUUGAUACUGUAUGUCUUGAAUUAUUGUGAAGUGGUUAGAAUAUGUAGUGUAGCGGUGAAAUGCUUAGAGAUUACAUAGAAUACCGAUUGCGAAGGCAGAUCACUAACAAUAUAUUGACGCUGAUGGACGAAAGCGUAGGUAGCGAACAGGAUUAGAUACCCUGGUAGUCUACGCCCGUAAACGAUGGAUACUAGUUGUUUGGUUUUCGGACUGAGUGACUAAGCGAAAGUGAUAAGUAUCCCCACCCUGGGAGUACGUUCGCAAGAAUG
Molecule: ribosomal RNA, 369 nt
Filed under: uncultured organism
Description: partial 16S ribosomal RNA
Rfam family: Bacterial small subunit ribosomal RNA
Source: RNAcentral